RNAcentral lists this ribosomal RNA (425 nucleotides) under uncultured prokaryote. RNAcentral describes it as "bacterial SSU rRNA". It matches the Rfam family "Bacterial small subunit ribosomal RNA", at positions 355 to 774 of the family's 1533-position model. The record is from RNAcentral.
UAACGAAUCUUGGGCAAUGGGCGAAAGCCUGACCCAGCAAUGCCGCGUGCAGGAGGAAGCCCUUCGGGGUGUAAACUGCUGUCAGGGGCUAGCAAGCAAGGGAUGUUAACAGCGUCCUGCGUUGAGCCGCCCCAGAGGAAGCCACGACUAACUCUGUGCCAGCAGUCGCGGUAAUACAGAGGUGGCAAGCGUUGUUCGGAAUCACUGGGCUUAAAGCGGGUGUAGGCGGCUGCGCAAGUGUCCUGUGAAAGCCCACGGCUCAACCGUGGAAUUGCAGGGCAAACUGCGUGGCUUGAGGCUGGUAGAGGUGCCUGGAACUCUAGGUGGAGCGGUGAAAUGCGUAGAUAUCUAGAGGAACGCCAGAAGCGCAAGCGGGGCACUGGGCCAGUUCUGACGCUGAGACCCGAAAGCAUGGGGAGCAAACA